GAUGAACGCUAGCGGGAGGCCUAAUACAUGCAAGUCGAACGGUAAGGCUCCUUCGGGAGUACACGAGUGGCGCACGGGUGCGUAACGCGUACAUAACAUACCUUAAAGCGGGGGAUAGCCUUUGGAAACGAAGAAUAAUACCCCAUAGUAACAUGAUAUCGCCUGAUAUAUUGUUUAAAGUUCCGACGCUUUAAGAUUGGUGUGCGUAUGAUUAGUUAGUUGGUGAGGUAACGGCUCACCAAGGCAACGAUCAUUAGGGGGCGUGAGAGCGUGAUCCCCCACACGGGCACUGAGACACGGGCCCGACUCCUACGGGAGGCAGCAGUAAGGAAUAUUGGGCAAUGGAGGCAACUCUGACCCAGCCAUCCCGCGUGAAGGACGACUGCCCUAUGGGUUGUAAACUUCUUUUCUGCAAGAAGAAUAGCCAGUAUUUAUAUUGGUAUGACGGUAUUGCAGGAAUAAGCACCGGCUAACUCCG
Molecule: ribosomal RNA, 478 nt
Filed under: uncultured Bacteroidota bacterium
Lineage: Bacteria; Pseudomonadati; Bacteroidota
Description: bacterial SSU rRNA
Rfam family: Bacterial small subunit ribosomal RNA
Source: RNAcentral